Molecule: ribosomal RNA, 408 nt
Filed under: uncultured bacterium
Lineage: Bacteria
Description: partial 16S ribosomal RNA
Rfam family: Bacterial small subunit ribosomal RNA
Source: RNAcentral
GACGAACGCUGACGGCGUGCUUAACACAUGCAAGUCGAAGGGAGUGGCGAACGGGUGAGUAACACGUGAGUAACCUGCCCUUUUCUUUUGGAUAAGCCUGGGUAACUGGGUCUAAUACUGGAUGGCUUGGGAUGAGCUCGGGGGUUAUCGGCUUGUUGGUGGGGUGAUGGCUUACCAAUGAUUUGACGGGUAGGCGGCCUGAAGGGGUGGUCGGGCACUCUGGGAAUGAGAUACGGCCCAGAGUCCUACGGGUGGAAGCAGUGGGGGAUAUUGCACAAGGGACGAAAAUCUGAUGCAGCGACGUCGUGUGGGGGAGGAAGGCCGUCGGGUUGUAAACUCCUUUCGCCCGCGGAAUGGUAGUGGGUAAAGAAGCGCCGGCUAACUACGUGCCAGCAGCCGCGGUAAUAC